GACGAACGCUGGCGGCGUGCCUAAUACAUGCAAGUCGAACGCACAGUUUAUACCGUAGCUUGCUACACCAUAGACUGUGAGUUGCGAACGGGUGAGUAACGCGUAGGUAACCUGCCUGGUAGCGGGGGAUAACUAUUGGAAACGAUAGCUAAUACCGCAUAAUAUUAAUUAUUGCAUGAUAAUUAAUUGAAAGGUGCAAUUGCACCACUACCAGAUGGACCUGCGUUGUAUUAGCUAGUAGGUGAGGUAACGGCUCACCUAGGCGACGAUACAUAGCCGACCUGAGAGGGUGAUCGGCCACACUGGGACUGAGACACGGCCCAGAAUCCUACGGGAGGCAGCAGUAGGGAAUCUUCGGCAAUGGACGAAAGGCUGACCGAGCAACGCCGCGUGAGUGAAGAAGGUUUUCGGAUCGUAAAGCUCUGUUGUAAGAGAAGAACGGGUGUGAGAGUGGAAAGUUCACACUGUGACGGUAUCUUACCAGAAAGGGACGGCUAACUACGUG
Molecule: ribosomal RNA, 505 nt
Filed under: uncultured bacterium
Lineage: Bacteria
Description: partial 16S ribosomal RNA
Rfam family: Bacterial small subunit ribosomal RNA
Source: RNAcentral